RNAcentral lists this ribosomal RNA (433 nucleotides) under uncultured bacterium. Its description in RNAcentral is "partial 16S ribosomal RNA". It matches the Rfam family "Bacterial small subunit ribosomal RNA", at positions 29 to 507 of the family's 1533-position model. The record is from RNAcentral.
AACGAACGCUGGCGGCAUGCCUAACACAUGCCAGUCGAACGAGACCUUCGGGUCUAGUGGCGCACGGGUGCGUAACGCGUGGGAACCUGCCCUUAGGUUCGGAAUAACUCCCCGAAAGGGGUGCUAAUACCGGAUAAUGUCUUCGGACCAAAGAUUUAUCGCCUUUGGAUGGGCCCGCGUUGGAUUAGCUAGUUGGUAGGGUAAAAGCCUACCAAGGCGACGAUCCAUAGCUGGUCUGAGAGGAUGAUCAGCCGCACUGGGACUGAGACACGGCCCAGACUCCUACGGGAGGCAGCAGUGGGGAAUAUUAGACGAUGGGCGAAAGCCUGAUCCAGCAAUGCCGCGUGAGUGAUGAAGGCCUUAGGGUUGUAAAGCUCUUUUACCCGGGAUGAUAAUGACAGUACCGGGAGAAUAAGCACCGGCUAACUCCGUG